Molecule: non-coding RNA, 84 nt
Organism: Stygiomarasmius scandens
Lineage: Eukaryota; Fungi; Basidiomycota; Agaricomycetes; Agaricales; Campanellaceae
Source: the annotation of a GenBank genome assembly
UCCAUCAUGGUGUAGUGGCUAACAUUAUCGCCUCUCAUACUGACACAGACGCGAUAGCCCAGGGUUCGAUUCCCUGUGAUGGAA